This 1489-nucleotide ribosomal RNA is filed under the name Lactiplantibacillus plantarum. Its description in RNAcentral is "bacterial SSU rRNA". It matches the Rfam family "Bacterial small subunit ribosomal RNA". Lineage: Bacteria; Bacillati; Bacillota; Bacilli; Lactobacillales; Lactobacillaceae. The record is from RNAcentral.
GACGAACGCUGGCGGCGUGCCUAAUACAUGCAAGUCGAACGAACUCUGGUAUUGAUUGGUGCUUGCAUCAUGAUUUACAUUUGAGUGAGUGGCGAACUGGUGAGUAACACGUGGGAAACCUGCCCAGAAGCGGGGGAUAACACCUGGAAACAGAUGCUAAUACCGCAUAACAACUUGGACCGCAUGGUCCGAGUUUGAAAGAUGGCUUCGGCUAUCACUUUUGGAUGGUCCCGCGGCGUAUUAGCUAGAUGGUGGGGUAACGGCUCACCAUGGCAAUGAUACGUAGCCGACCUGAGAGGGUAAUCGGCCACAUUGGGACUGAGACACGGCCCAAACUCCUACGGGAGGCAGCAGUAGGGAAUCUUCCACAAUGGACGAAAGUCUGAUGAAGCAACGCCGCGUGAGUGAAGAAGGGUUUCGGCUCGUAAAACUCUGUUGUUAAAGAAGAACAUAUCUGAGAGUAACUGUUCAGGUAUUGACGGUAUUUAACCAGAAAGCCACGGCUAACUACGUGCCAGCAGCCGCGGUAAUACGUAGGUGGCAAGCGUUGUCCGGAUUUAUUGGGCGUAAAGCGAGCGCAGGCGGUUUUUUAAGUCUGAUGUGAAAGCCUUCGGCUCAACCGAAGAAGUGCAUCGGAAACUGGGAAACUUGAGUGCAGAAGAGGACAGUGGAACUCCAUGUGUAGCGGUGAAAUGCGUAGAUAUAUGGAAGAACACCAGUGGCGAAGGCGGCUGUCUGGUCUGUAACUGACGCUGAGGCUCGAAAGUAUGGGUAGCAAACAGGAUUAGAUACCCUGGUAGUCCAUACCGUAAACGAUGAAUGCUAAGUGUUGGAGGGUUUCCGCCCUUCAGUGCUGCAGCUAACGCAUUAAGCAUUCCGCCUGGGGAGUACGGCCGCAAGGCUGAAACUCACAGGAAUUGACGGGGGCCCGCACAAGCGGUGGAGCAUGUGGUUUAAUUCGAAGCUACGCGAAGAACCUUACCAGGUCUUGACAUACUAUGCAAAUCUAAGAGAUUAGACGUUCCCUUCGGGGACAUGGAUACAGGUGGUGCAUGGUUGUCGUCAGCUCGUGUCGUGAGAUGUUGGGUUAAGUCCCGCAACGAGCGCAACCCUUAUUAUCAGUUGCCAGCAUUAAGUUGGGCACUCUGGUGAGACUGCCGGUGACAAACCGGAGGAAGGUGGGGAUGACGUCAAAUCAUCAUGCCCCUUAUGACCUGGGCUACACACGUGCUACAAUGGAUGGUACAACGAGUUGCGAACUCGCGAGAGUAAGCUAAUCUCUUAAAGCCAUUCUCAGUUCGGAUUGUAGGCUGCAACUCGCCUACAUGAAGUCGGAAUCGCUAGUAAUCGCGGAUCAGCAUGCCGCGGUGAAUACGUUCCCGGGCCUUGUACACACCGCCCGUCACACCAUGAGAGUUUGUAACACCCAAAGUCGGUGGGGUAACCUUUUAGGAACCAGCCGCCUAAGGUGGGACAGAUGAUUAGGGUG